Molecule: ribosomal RNA, 510 nt
Filed under: marine bacterium SE60
Lineage: Bacteria; Pseudomonadati; Pseudomonadota; Alphaproteobacteria; Hyphomicrobiales
Description: bacterial SSU rRNA
Rfam family: Bacterial small subunit ribosomal RNA
Source: RNAcentral
GCUGGCGGCAGGCUUAACACAUGCAAGUCGAACGAAGUCUUCGGACUUAGUGGCAGACGGGUGAGUAACGCGUGGGAACCUACCCUUUGGUACGGAACAACAGUUGGAAACGACUGCUAAUACCGUAUGAGCCCUACGGGGGAAAGAUUUAUCGCCAAAGGAUGGGCCCGCGUUGGAUUAGCUAGUUGGUGGGGUAAAAGCCUACCAAGGCGACGAUCCAUAGCUGGUCUGAGAGGAUGAUCAGCCACACUGGGACUGAGACACGGCCCAGACUCCUACGGGAGGCAGCAGUGGGGAAUAUUGGACAAUGGGGGCAACCCUGAUCCAGCCAUGCCGCGUGAGUGAUGAAGGCCCUAGGGUUGUAAAGCUCUUUCAGCGAGGAGGAUAAUGACGUUACUCGCAGAAGAAGCCCCGGCUAACUUCGUGCCAGCAGCCCGCGGUAAUACGAAGGGGGCUAGCCGUUGUUCGGAAUACUGGGCGUAAAGCGCACGUAGGCGGACUUUUAAGUCA